GGCCAUUCUGUGUGGGAAUGGGGCAAGGGUGGGGCUCAAGUCCCAUCUUGUCUUAUGUAGGACUCAGAGGUGCUCCAGAUGACUAUGGGCUGAGAGGUGCACCCUCUGUAUGCACACUUGGGAACCGUAUGACCCUUAGACUGGCUGGACAGCAAGACUCUUGAGAGCCCCUGUUUCUGCUGACCCAUCUAUGGAAUCACAGGCAGGGGUGGCUUUUAUGUGGGUCCUGGGAUCCAAACCCAGUUUCUGCAGCACCUUAUGAAAUCUCAUUGUGAAUGUUCGACGAACUUCAGGACGGCGCGAUGCCAUUAUGUCAAAGACUGGCCCACCGCUGCCAGCAGCUUUCAAAGGUUUUGGGGUCUGCAGAGUCCCUGAAGAAUUUUGGCUUGAAGCCCUCUUUCUCCUUCGUUUCUGAAUCCAAUGGUAGAUUAGGCGAAAUGGAAUCCGUAUGGUUCUGAUUCAUUUACACUUAACUCAUCAAAAUGUUCCUUUUUAUGAGCUAUUUGAUGUCCAGAAAGCCUUUUGAGUAGAUUUUAUAAGCCUUUUAAAGACUUUUCUCUUAGAAACAGGCGGUUGCAUUUUGCCAAGAAUAAACAAACUUGAACCUCA
RNAcentral lists this long non-coding RNA (609 nucleotides) under Mus spretus (western wild mouse). RNAcentral's name for it is "lncRNA (ENSMSPG00010046684.1)". Lineage: Eukaryota; Metazoa; Chordata; Mammalia; Rodentia; Muridae. The record is from RNAcentral.